UUGAAGGAAGAGUCGUUUAAAGCAGAGGCGACGAGUGUAGAGAGAACCACCUUGCGUUCUCUUCUGAUAGAGGCCUCUGUCCGGGCUGUGGAACUGGAGAAAAGACUGAGUGACAGGGGGAGAGUUGGGAAUGUCAUAGAGGUGUUGAGGAAGGAGAGCUUGGACCUACGCCACCUUACUACCAGCCAGGAGCAGCGACCGGAGCAGUGUCAAAGAUCAGCACUGCAGAGCCAGGCUGAACUAGAUCCCGAGAGGCCAUCCUCAGCCUGCUGUAUCUUAGGGGUAACAUUGUGGGUACACAUGAAGUACGCAAAGUAUCUUUGUAUCCUGCAACACCACCCAGACAGAAUACCAGCUACAGAAACUACACACACAGCUGCAGGAGAGGACUGUACGCAUCAACCAGCUGGAGAGAGGGGAGAAGAGCAGCAGUCUCCGGCACUUUAAAACUACUCUGGACUUGAAUAAGAGGGACACCCAUAGGCGUUGGAGUCUCAGAGAGCUGGAUCGGAGCAAUCUAAGGAGCUAGAGGAUCAAAUCUAAAUGGUGUGGUUUUUGGAGACGGAUGAGUUGAGUAGCUGUGUGCAGCAGAUACAGGGAGUGAAGGGACGCUAUGAGAGAGUGAGCUGGAGACACGAGCCAAAGAGGCAGUUAACGGAGGACAUGAAUAAGGUUCAGGGUGAGCUGAGUGAGCGAGAGCAGCAGAUGCUGCGUAUACGGAGAGACAGCGUCACGAAGGCCUUCCAGCUCUCCAAGAUGGAGAAGAUGCUAGCCGAGACCAGAGGAAAGCUGGACAAGAAGCCUGAGCCUGGUACGGAAAGUAAAGGACGGGACACCCGGGACGACAUGGUCCAGGACCUGGAGGAUAAGGUGCGUUUCACCAGGAGAGACAGGAGGAACUCCCUGCACCGCACCCAGCUGCUGGAGAGCCAGAUGAAGACUGUGAAGGGAGAGCUGGUGGACACACUGGACCACCUGCAGGAGCUGCGAGACAGGCUGAGACGCUCACAGGCUAACGCAGAGCAGCGCAAAGUUGACAUGGAGAAACUGCAAGCAGGGAUGAGGUGAGCCAACAACAGUUCUGGCCCAAUGUGCCAGGGCAGAGGCUCCUUCAGUCUUCUCCUAUGCCCACAACUACUUGGUUCUUGGUACUUUUGCCUCCCUUGGUACCUGCUUCAUUCUUUUUCACCAAUGGGGCCAGAACACCUCAAUCUUGACGACAAAGCUGAAUCCUAAUACUUUUUAAAACUGUAACAAAUGUAUAUUGCCUCUUUACAGUUUGUAAUACUCCCAAAUCUUUGGAAAUACUUAUCUACUUUGUUUUUACUCCGUUUUCACUUCCCACAAACUGCUUUUGUGACUUGGUGGUUGUUAGGGAUUGAUAAACACUUGUAUUAUGUUAGCUCCUAUUCACAGCACUGUAUUUCCUUUCCGUGUUGUGUGGAAACUCAGAGCCAGAAUGUCAAUUACUGAAUAAAAACUGUGCUACAAUCCAACGGGAAGAAGCAAAAAAUAUAACUGUAGUUAACUGUUUUUAAGUUGUCUUAAAUUGAGAUAAACUUGUGCAUCACUGUGUUGCUUGUGGUGUUGUAUUGUCAAGGGUUGUCAAAGGUUACUAUGUACAUAAAUACAUUUUCCAGGUGACAAAACUGAACUUCUCUGAGACCAAUGAUGGCUGAUAAACAACACUGACCCCCCCCCCCCCCCCAUUGUCAUAUGUCACUUGGAGGCAGUGGUCAGUGAAACUGGUUCUGGGGUGUCUGUUGGUGCUGUUUCAAACGCACAUUUUGUGAAACCCAUGAAUAUGGUGUAACAAAGCUGAAGGUCAAGUAUCAGUGACCUCAUUACAUUCUUGCCUGCCCUCCAGUUCCUAUUCAUACAGUAUGAAAAGAAAACAGCUAGUAUCAUGUCUGUUUUAUUGGGGGAUUUUCCAUGCUGAAAUUAAGCAGUCCCUGUUUCAAUUGAAAAUAUUUUAGUGCCAAGAUGUAAGUUCAGCCAAGUUGUAGCACUACUUGUAUUAUAAGAUGAAAGGCACACAUUCAUUCAUUUUUUUUGUCAGACAGAUUAUAAAUGGGUGACUUGGCAACCUCUUCUGUUUCUGUGUCUUGUCACAUGGAUGUGACCACUGAACUGGACAAGUUGCUAUGGAAACUAUUGUAUUAUCAGCUAUUUCACCACAGUUACUUUGAGUACACUGCAGAGAGCUAUGGAAGCUACCUGCAAAAGCAGCAGUCUGCAAUGUAUUACAUGUGAAUUAAAAUGUAAACAUGAUGUUUUCACUGACUCAUUUUUGUCUAUACCAUACAGGUAGUGUUGUAUCACAACCAGGUUCUGAAUGAGGUUAUAUCCAUUUAUGGUGUUGUUUGGUACAUUCUAUGUACUUUCCCUCAAACUGCAGGGUAGCAUCGUUGCUACAUGAAUGGUUCCAGUGUUUCUAACAGCAGCAAGGAUUGUCUUUCUGUGUCCCAAAUGGCUCCCUAUUCCGUGUAUAUAGUGUACUACUUUGACCAAAGCCCUAUGGGCCUUGAUCCAAAGUAGUACAAUAUAUAGGGAAAAUGGUGCCAUUCAGCAUGCAGCAUCUGCCUGUUUUCCUGUUCCCUCAGGUGAGUGUCAGCUGAUUGUCUCUGAAGCAGCACUCAUGUUCUAACUCUUAGCCCCAUGGCAAAGAUGUGAUCAGACUAGAUGUAGCAAUGUUUUCCCCCACACAGACAGCAUCACAUGCUAGAAAGCUAUUGGCUAUUCUCUGUUGAUCAACACUUUUGGCCCCUACUGCCUGCCUGCCUGCCUGCCUCAACUAAAAGCCCUUCGGCUGCAGCAGAGCAACACACACAUUUCAUACCUGGUUUAUUAUUUAUUCAAAGAUAAUAAAA
This 2870-nucleotide long non-coding RNA is filed under the name Oncorhynchus kisutch (coho salmon). Its description in RNAcentral is "lncRNA (ENSOKIG00005014409.1)". The record is from RNAcentral. Lineage: Eukaryota; Metazoa; Chordata; Actinopteri; Salmoniformes; Salmonidae.